This 62-nucleotide transfer RNA is filed under the name Thrips imaginis (plague thrips). Its description in RNAcentral is "tRNA-Lys". The record is from RNAcentral. Lineage: Eukaryota; Metazoa; Arthropoda; Insecta; Thysanoptera; Thripidae.
CCUUAAAUAAGUUAAUAAAACUAUUGAACUUUUAAUUCAAUUUUACUAAAAAGUUUUAAGGU